UACGGAGGGUGCGAGCGUUGUCCGGAAUCACUGGGCGUAAAGGGCGCGUAGGCGGCUCGUGAAGUCAGUGGUGAAAGCCCAGGGCUCAACUCUGGGUCGGCCACUGAUACUCACGAGCUCGAGUUUGGUAGAGGCAGAUGGAAUUCCGGGUGUAGCGGUGGAAUGCGUAGAGAUCCGGAAGAACACCGGUGGCGAAGGCGGUCUGCUGGGCCAAGACUGACGCUGAGGCGCGACAGCGUGGGGAGCAAACAGG
This 253-nucleotide ribosomal RNA is filed under the name uncultured bacterium. Its description in RNAcentral is "partial 16S ribosomal RNA". It matches the Rfam family "Bacterial small subunit ribosomal RNA", at positions 524 to 776 of the family's 1533-position model. The record is from RNAcentral.